AUGAACUUAGCUUGCUAAGUUUGAUGGCGACCGGCGCACGGGUGAGUAACACGUAUCCAACCUGCCGAUGACUCGGGGAUAGCCUUUCGAAAGAAAGAUUAAUACCCGAUGGCAUAGUUCUUCCGCAUGGUAGAACUAUUAAAGAAUUUCGGUCAUCGAUGGGGAUGCGUUCCAUUAGGUCGUUGGCGGGGUAACGGCCCACCAAGCCUUCGAUGGAUAGGGGUUCUGAGAGGAAGGUCCCCCACAUUGGAACUGAGACACGGUCCAAACUCCUACGGGAGGCAGCAGUGAGGAAUAUUGGUCAAUGGACGAGAGUCUGAACCAGCCAAGUAGCGUGAAGGAUGACUGCCCUAUGGGUUGUAAACUUCUUUUAUACGGGAAUAAAGUGAGGCACGUGUGCCUUUUUGUAUGUACCGUAUGAAUAAGGAUCGGCUAACUCCGUGCCAGCAGCCGCGGUAAUACGGAGGAUCCGAGCGUUAUCCGGAUUUAUUGGGUUUAAAGGGAGCGUAGGCGGACGCUUAAGUCAGUUGUGAAAGUUUGCGGCUCAACCGUAAAAUUGCAGUUGAUACUGGGUGUCUUGAGUACAGUAGAGGCAGGCGGAAUUCGUGGUGUAGCGGUGAAAUGCUUAGAUAUCACGAAGAACUCCGAUUG
This 651-nucleotide ribosomal RNA is filed under the name uncultured Bacteroides sp. RNAcentral describes it as "bacterial SSU rRNA". It matches the Rfam family "Bacterial small subunit ribosomal RNA", at positions 69 to 715 of the family's 1533-position model. The record is from RNAcentral. Lineage: Bacteria; Pseudomonadati; Bacteroidota; Bacteroidia; Bacteroidales; Bacteroidaceae.